RNAcentral lists this unclassified non-coding RNA (203 nucleotides) under uncultured Sebacinales. Its description in RNAcentral is "sequence contains ITS2". Lineage: Eukaryota; Fungi; Basidiomycota; Agaricomycetes; Sebacinales. RNAcentral also lists the same sequence under 1 other name. The record is from RNAcentral.
UAAUCUCACUACAACCACUUUAUUGUUGUUUGUAUGUGGAACUGGAUGUUGCCGUGUAACAAACGGCUCAUCUGAAAUGCCUGAGUGUACCCUGCUUUGCGGCGUAUUCGGUGUGAUAAAUCUUCACCGGAGUUGACUUUUGGGUCGCGUCUGCUUAACAUGGCUCUAUGCUUCCAACCGUCCUGACAAGACAACCUUUGACA